This 65-nucleotide microRNA precursor is filed under the name Panthera tigris altaica (Amur tiger). Its description in RNAcentral is "miRNA (ENSPTIG00000003083.1)". It matches the Rfam family "mir-4680 microRNA precursor family". Lineage: Eukaryota; Metazoa; Chordata; Mammalia; Carnivora; Felidae. The record is from Rfam by way of RNAcentral.
UAUAAGAACUCUUACAGUCUUAGAUGUUCUAAAAAAUAUAUCUGAAUUGUAAGAGUUGUUAGCAC